AACUCAGUGGUAGAGUGCUUGCCUUUCAUGCAUGAGACCCUGAGUUCGAUUCCUCAG
This 57-nucleotide transfer RNA is filed under the name Dipodomys ordii (Ord's kangaroo rat). It matches the Rfam family "tRNA", at positions 9 to 63 of the family's 71-position model. From Rfam's summary of the family: Transfer RNA (tRNA) molecules are approximately 80 nucleotides in length. Their secondary structure includes four short double-helical elements and three loops (D, anti-codon, and T loops). Further hydrogen bonds mediate the characteristic L-shaped molecular structure. tRNAs have two regions of fundamental functional importance: the anti-codon, which is responsible for specific mRNA codon recognition, and the 3' end, to which the tRNAs corresponding amino acid is attached (by aminoacyl-tRNA synthetases). tRNAs cope with the degeneracy of the genetic code in two manners: having more than one tRNA (with a specific anti-codon) for a particular amino acid; and 'wobble' base-pairing, i.e. permitting non-standard base-pairing at the 3rd anti-codon position. Lineage: Eukaryota; Metazoa; Chordata; Mammalia; Rodentia; Heteromyidae. The record is from Rfam by way of RNAcentral.